CCUACGGGAGGCAGCAGUGAGGAAUAUUGGUCAAUGGGCGCUAGCCUGAACCAGCAAAGUAGCGUGAAGGAUGACUGCCCUAUGGGUUGUAAACUUCUUUUAUAUGGGAAUAAAGUGCAGUGUGUAUACUGCUUUGCAUGUACCUUAUGAAGAAGGAUCGGCUAACUCCGUGCCAGCAGCCGCGGUAAUACGGAGGAUUCGAGCGUUAUCCGGAUUUAUUGGGUGUAAAGGGAGCGUAGGCGGGUUGUUAAGUCAGUUGUGAAAGUUUGCGGCUCAACCGUAAAAUUGCAGUUGAUACUGGCAUCCUUGAGUACAGUAGAGGUAGGCGGAAUUCGGGGUGUAGCGGUGAAAUGCGUAGAUAUCACGAAGAACUCCGAUUGCGAAGGCAGCUUACUAAACUGCCACUGACAUUGAUGCUCGAAAGUGUGGGUAUCAAACAGGAUUAGAUACCCUAGUAGUC
This 460-nucleotide ribosomal RNA is filed under the name uncultured bacterium. Its description in RNAcentral is "partial 16S ribosomal RNA". It matches the Rfam family "Bacterial small subunit ribosomal RNA", at positions 338 to 795 of the family's 1533-position model. The record is from RNAcentral.